ACAGAUAAAAUGGCUGCUUGAAUCAUUGAAGCAUAAUAACAUGCAAAAGAGGAUCAACAUCUCCAUAUUUCAUUCCUUAUUCACCAUCUGAAUAAAAAGAUAAUAUGUAGGCACUUAUCAAAUCAUUUCAAAAUGAUCUUGUUCAUCAAUACACUCAAUUACAGAUAUGCGUAAUACAUUUUCAGAAAAAAAGAAUAGUUGGUAAAGAAAAUAAUAUCAUCAGUUCAAAUCAAGUCUCAUUGGAGUAGCGAUCAUUUUACAGAAUUUUAUACUAAAUAAUAUAAUAAUAAAGAAAUAAAAAUUUAAA
This is a long non-coding RNA of Gordionus sp. m RMFG-2023, 307 nucleotides long. RefSeq lists it as uncharacterized. Lineage: Eukaryota; Metazoa; Nematomorpha; Gordioida; Chordodea; Parachordodidae. The transcript is spliced from 3 exons. The record is from RefSeq and is a predicted model, not a curated record.